AAGGGAUUGCCUGUGGGGUGGUCCAGAUGAAGGAUCUUGGUUUGGGCCAUAUGUUGAUCGGGGAUCCAACGGCUGAGGUUGAAGGAACCAAAGUGAGAAAUAAUAAUAGUAAGUUUAAAAUAGUGGAAAAAUUAUUGGUACCCAUUUUUGGUUAUGAAAAGUAAGGUGUGUGAUGAGUGAUGAAUAGAAGAAUGGAGAGGAAAAGUUUAUAUAGUUUUUGAAUUAUGAUAUAACAAGUCAAUGGAACGACCGAUAUUUCAUUUGUUUUAGCUUUUAAAUGUAUAUAUAUUUUUUCUGAUUGGUUUCUUCCAUUUGGCAUUUUGUGUUUAGUUCAUAUAAAUAAUUGUGUAUUGUGUUUAAACGAUGAUUAAUCGGCUAUAAAGUGUUAUGUAUGGUGCAUUAUAAGGGUAAGUUGGUGUUUGAGAUAACUUUUCAAAAAACUUAAAAAACUAGUAAGUUAAAAAAAUAUUUGUGUAUUUAAAAAAAACGUUUUUUAAAAUAGUUUAUUGGAUAGGAAAAAAUAAAGCUUUUAAAAAACUAAAAAAUCCUAACUUUUUAGCUUUUUAACCAUUUUACUCCUGGAAAAUCAGUUUUUCUUAUCUAAAUAUUUUUUAAAAUCAGUUUUUUUUUUAAAAAAAAAACCAUAAGCUAAUAAACAUUUUUUUUAAAUCACUUUUGAGAUAAAAAACUAAACCAAACAUUCCCUAAUUUGUUUAAAAGUACUUGCAAAUGUUUUAUAAUACAUCACGUGAUGCGUAUGGAUUGAUAAGCCAUAUGAAAUGAUCAUUACACGUGGAGUAUGAUUUCAUGAUGAUUUGCUAUGUGUUAAGCCAUAUGAUAUUUAAAUUAAUAUUUUGCAGGAGAUGUUUAUUUAAAUUAACAUAUUGUAAUAAAUGGAGUAUGAUUUCAUGAUGAUUUAGUAUGUGUUAAGCCAUAUGAUAUGAUCAUGAUGUUUAAAUUAACAUUUUGUAAUAAAUGGAGAUGUUUAUUUAAUGUUGAUAGUACGGAAUAGUAAUAAUGAUGUUAAUUUUUAUUCAUGUAGAUGAUAACGAUACAAGCUAGCAUAAACAAAUUUUUUUUUUUUUCCAAUCAACAUACAUUAAAUUAAUUUUUUAAUUCACCUUAAAAUUUAAAUAUCUAAUAGUUGUUUAAUUUUAUUAUAUAAGAACAUGUAUUGUUAAUCGGCCACUAGUGCCGGCGAGCAGUGGAUUGCGUUGGUUUUCUUGAAGUGCUUUCGACUGCCGGAUUUCUAUUAUUUUAUUAACUUCUUGGGGGCAUAUUUUACUGUAUUAAAAGAUAAAGGAGCCGAAUGUAAACUUUGAAUAUUCCUAGGACCCUUUCUAAACAAACUAAAUAAUUGAUAAUCUAAUCUUUUGAGGAUAUAAUUUUGUAAGAUUCUUAGGAAUAUGUUUAAUCUUUAUCUUGGACCCCAGUUGUAAUUUUUUUAUGAAUCCGCUUGAAGACAUGUUUCUAGUCAGUAUAUAUAUGUGAAGCUUUCGGUUGAGGCAGUUGUUGCGUGCAUUACGUUGACGUUGACUCGUUGACCCUUUUGACUCAAGGGUGUAAAACUAGUAUGCCUUUGUAGCAAUCCUAAACUGGGAGCGUAACAAUAGAGCUUUGAAUAUGAUCCACGUAAUUUCUAUUUCUAUUUGUAUUUGUAAGGGAUCACUAGAGUUUCAUGUGAUGAUGGACUAUAAUUGUCGUAAGUAUGCUCUUGGCAUCGAGGAAAUCAUAUUUAUACUCACAUAGUCAUAGAUAUAUAUGUAAACUAUUUAUUUUCUCUUGGUAUCUCAUUAUCAUUAUCAAAAAAUAUAUAGGAAAAUUACAAUGCAUACAGUGGGCCGAGCAUGGGCGGAUCCACCUUGGAGCCCGGGAUCCCCUAAAAAAAAAUUUAGUAGUAUAAAUUUUUUUAGAAAAUUUCGUUUAUGUUUAUGUGGCUGUGACACCCUAGAAAAUAAUUUAGGCUACCAUAAUUUUUUUUUUUUUUUUAAUUUGUAUAUGGUAAAUUCAAUUACAAACUAGUCUCAUAAGUGCUACAAACUUGUUAAACCCAAUUGGCCGGUUCCCAACACAAAAUUAAUUUAAUGACACAAAAUUUAGCUUAAUACCAAUUAUGAAAAAUCGAAAAUUAACAAUUCAACAAAUCAAUCGACUUCUUNNNNNNNNNNNNNNNNNNNNNNNNNNNNNNNNNNNNNNNNNNNNNNNNNNNNNNNNNNNNNNNNNNNNNNNNNNNNNNCUGGAUGAUUUGCCUUUGGUGGUGGGUCAUUAUUGAUCAAAGUGGACAAUGAAGCAAGUAAGUACAAAAAUUAGUGAUUAUUGUUAGGUUAACUGAAAUUCAAUUUUUUUGGCAUUGUGUUGAAAAAUUAGAAAUUACCAAUUAAGAUUGUCAGAUUAGGGACUUAGGGUUAAUGAAAAUAUGCCAUGGUUAGUAAUUAGUGAUUAUUUAUUGUUGAAACUUGAAAUCAAGUUUAUCGUUGGUAUAUUUUGAUAAUUUGAUUGUAGGUUGUAUUUGUUGUUGAAACUUGAAAUCAAGUUUAUAGUUGAUAUAUUUUGAUUGUAGGUUGCUAUUAACAAAAUUUUCAAAUGACAACAACAAUGGUGAAAAAACUUCAAAAAAAUGCUAAUAAAAAUACACAAGUUCCACAACCUAAUCAACCUAUUCCAAAAGCUCAAGAACCACAAUCUAAUGAACAUACUCCAAAACCACAAGAACCACAAUCCAAUUACUCGCUUUCGUAAAAUAAAAAAAUGAAGAUGUGAACUUUAAAACUUAACUUUGUUAUGGAAGUUGAACUUUAUCUGUAAUGAAAUUGUGGUUUUUAUUUUUUUUCUUAUUGUAUAUUACAUCAUUUUUUUGGGAUACCCGUUUACUUUUACCCUGGCUCCGCCACUGGGCCAAGAAUAUAAACAUAAAUAAUACAUAAAAUAGCAUACACUGUCAACCUCAUGUAGUCUUAAAAGGAGGAUGAUUCCAAAUGUUGAGACUAAAUUCGAAAUCAAGAAAUCCCGUCAAAAGAAGACCCUUAGUAAAAUGCCAGCGUAUUGAGACGUAGAGGGUACAUGAAGAACUUGAACAUGACCCUUGGCGACUUGAUCACAAGUGGAUAUCAAUCUUGAUGUGCUUUACCUUCUGAUGCUGAAGCAUGUUGAUAAAAAAACCACAACACUAGUGUUGUCGUAAUAAACAAUAUUGGUUUUGGUAAGCGGUCAAUGCAAUUUACAUAAAAGAUUUUUUAGCCAACAUUGUUCAGCGAAAACAUUCGCAACGCCAUGGUAUUCAACAUCAGCACUAGAUCUAAAAAUCGUUCCUUGUCACUUUAAAGAUCAAGUCAAUAAACUUUGACCCAAAAUACAUAAUAACCUAUUGUGGAGUGUCUAGUAUUAGGGAAGCCAACCUAAUCAACAUCAUAAUAAGUUAUAAGGCCAUGUGACGAAGAAGCAUAAAGUCGUAAACCAUAGUCUAUGGUUCCCUAAUAAUAACGAAGAAUUCUUUUGAGAAUCGAGAAGUGUGACUCCUAAGAAUCACACAUAAAUAAGUCAAUAUAUCGGACAACAUAAGUAAGCUCUAUACGAGUAAAAGUAAGAUAUCGUAGUGGACGUACGAGACAGAGAUAUAGUUUCGGAUCUAUAACUAAAGGGUUGGUGUCAUCGAGUUUCACAUGUGUAUAUGGAGUACGAGCAAACUUAUAAUUAAGCAUGUUAAAUUUGUUCAAAAUCUCCUAGGCAUGCUUAUGCUAUUAUAAAAAAAACAUAUUGUCCCGAGACACAAAAAUACAAAAAAAAUGAGAUUUUUAAGGCAUUUUUCUCUUCAUUCGAUCUUGCCCCUCUCAUCUCUUAUGUAUUAAGCUGUUGAGUUGCUCUAACUUAAGGUAAAUCAUUAAUAUUUGAUGUGGUUCUUCUAAAAUCUUUGUGGUCGCUUCAGUUUCUUAGUUAGAUGAAUACCAAGGAAAAAAAAUCAAAAGUCUUAAAUGUUUAUGGAAGGCUUUAUAGACAUCGUUAAGUAGUUUAGUUUAAAUUUCUAAUGUUAGAGACCCUUCAUGUACACCUGAUUACAUUUGUGGAUACUUUUUCUAGUGUGUCUUGGAUGAUUAUUAAAACCAAGGUUGUCAAGAUCAUGAUCUUGAUUGUAAGAUCCUAUGAUCUUACCUGUGAAAACUGUAACACCCGUUUCCCAUAAUGGAUCAGUUAAUGAUGUAAAUGAUUACGUGUCUCGGAUAGACUCCAUAACGUGACAUGAAGGGUGUCAAGGCGAGGAGGCUGUUUCAGUCCAAGCCCAGAAUUUUUAGGGUUUUCUCUAUAUUUAACCCCCUAAACUCAAGGUUUAGGGCAUCCUCUUCAGCCCCCAACCCUUUCAACGGAAUCAUAUCCCCCAUUGUUGAUUUCUUGAGCUUUUAGUGGUGUUUUUGGAGUCUUGAAGGAGAAGGAAGUAUCAUUGGUUGAAAAAUGUUUAAUUGAGUGGGGGUUAAAAAAUAUCUUGACUAUAAAAGUGGAUAAUGCUAGCUCUAAUGAUGUAGCUAUUAACCAUUUGAAAAGUGUUCUUAACCAUUAGGAAUAUGGUGUUAUGAAAGGGGCUUUUUUACAUAUGAGAUGUAUGGCUCACAUCUUAAACUUGGUGGUCAGAGAUGGGCUGUUGGAUGUCAGUUUGUCUAUUAAAAAAAUUCGCACUCUUGUAAAAUAUGUAAGGUCAUCUCCCGCUAAGCUUCAAAAGUUCAAAGCUGUUGUUGAAGAAGAAAAGAUAGAAAGCAAGAGUCUUGUUUCUAUGGAUGUUGAAACACGUUGGAACUUAACAUUUCUGAUGCUCGAAAGUGUCAUGAAGUUUAAAAAAGCUUUCUCGAACUUGCUUCUAAAAGAUUCUAAUUAUGCGAAAGAGCUAAAAAGUGUGAGGGUGGUUUGAUUAAUGAUGAAGAUUGGGUUAAUGUUAAUAGUCUGUUGCCUUUUUUGAAGAUCCUUUUUGAUGUUGCUAAAAGGUCUUUUGGUUCUUGUUAUGUGACUUCAAAUGCUUAUGUACAUGAGAUUUUGGGAAUUGGUAAUGUUAUUGAUGGAUUUACCAUGCACGCUGAUCAGUCCAUUAAGUCCAUGACACUUAAAAUGCAAGCAAAAUACAAGAAGUAUUGGGGGGGGGGGGACAUAGCGAAACNNNNNNNNNGGGGGGACAUAGCGAAACUUAAUUAGUUUUUGAUCAUCAGGGUAGUUCUUGACCCAAGACGUAAAUGGCAAUAUAUUGCAUGGCUUGUGGAAGAAAGCUUUGAAGAAAAGAAAGCACGUACUUUUCUUUUAAAUCUAGAUUCCAACAUGCGGGUCUUGUUUGAUCUCUAUAAUGCUUCCAUGCCUCAAAAAGAAAAGGAUGAGGAGGUGUCAUCUUCUACUUCUAAAGCUAGUCCUAAUUCUAUGUGGGGGCAUGAGGUAGUCAUGGAUAUUGAGGAACUUAUGACUAAACGUUUUGAAAUGGCUAUGGGGAGUUCUGAAACCAUUUUGAAGAAAACAAAAUUAGACAAAUAUCUAGGGGAAGACCAUGAAGCUAUGGAUGCCAACUUUGACAUAUUAAAAUGGUGGAAGAUUAAAAAAUGUAGAUAUCAUGUUCUUGCAAAGAUGGACCGAGAUAUGCUUGCUAUUCUAGUUUCUACGGUUGCCUCUCAGUUGGAUUUUAGCAUAGGAGGACGGGUGUUUGAUUGCUUUCGAACAUCUUUAAUUCCUAGAAUGGUGGAAGCCUUAGUAUGCACACAAGAUUGGGUGCAUGAUUCUCAUGAUGCAAUUAAUGUUGAUGCCAUAUUGCUUGAAAUAGAGAAAAUAGAGGAUGAAAGUUGGUCUUAAAUUCACAAAGUUUUUAUUUUUAUUUAUAUUUGUAAUGUUUUCUUUUUUAUUUUAAUUCACAAGUUUGAAUGACUUAACUGUGGAGCAACCUACCAUCAUAAUUGAUGAAACAGUCGAUGAAUUACCUGAAAACAUUGGAGGUAUUAUUUUAUUAAAGUUUCUAUACAUUAAAAACAAUUUAAAAAUGUAUCUAUUUUUCUACCCCGAUUCUGUUGUCAAAAAAAUUAAAGCUUAAUCUGAUUUUUUUUACUUCCUGCCAUUAGAUUGGAGGUUUUCAGAAUCUGAUUAAACUCAAUUUCUACCAGAUUAUACAUGAAUCAAGGUAAUCUUAAGUAAUAAGUAGGGGUUGAGGUGUAUGAUAUUACAUAAUGCAUGCGUAAUACGUACAAUGAUACAAUCUGUCAGUUUUGUCUUAAUUUUAAUGUUAUUUAUUUAUUUAUUUUUUUUCUUUUUCAGAAAAUGGUGUUGAAGUGCUAGUUGUUCGUUGCAUUGCCGGAAGAUGGAAAUAGUGAAUGGAUAUUUUGAAAAGUUAAUUGUGUGUUUUAAACUUUGAAUUGUUUUUUGGAAUCUUGUUUGUGUGCUUUAAACUUUGGAUGUUUUUUAGUUCAUGAGGGUAACAAAUAAACUAGAAUGUUAUAUGUUGUCAUUGUUAACAUUUGAAUUAGUAAUAUGUAAUGUUAUUUUUUUAAUAUUGCUGACAUUUGAAAAAAAACAAAUAUGGAUGAUUGCAUUUUUGGAUAUCCAGAUUAAUAUCCGAAAUUUCGGAUCUUCGAAAUUUCGGAUACGGAAUCGAAUAUCAAUAUCUACUUUUCGAAAUUUCCGGAUAUCCGGUUAUAAACACCCCUAAUGAAGAUAUCAAAAAUCAAAGAAUAUGAUUUCUCUGUGUGUAUCCACGGUCAAGAAUAAGACGCUUGAAAUGCUAGUUCCUUAUUGUAUUUUUGAGUAUCUUAAGCCUUUAAGUGCUUAACCCAAAUAAACACCAAAAAAGACAACUCAAGAAAGCUUUAAUUCAUCAGUUUACUUCAAAAGUUCCGACUUAUUAAUUCAUACCAUAUGAAAUAAUAUUUAGUUGUACUCUCUUAUAAUUAUUAUUUUCACAAAACAAUAAUUAUUCUUCAAUUUAAAUACAAUAAUUGAUAUUAUUUAUUAAUAGUCAUAUUAAUAAUAAAUAUACAAAAAUGUGUUAACUUGAUAAAUGUGUGACCCUAUAAGAUCAUGUAUUAUUAGCAAUAUCAGUCAAUUAUGAUUCUUGGGCAUAUAGAUUCAACAUAUUCUUUGUACUCUAUUAAGAAGUUUCACCGCAUCCGACACGAGGAAAUUAAACGUAUCAAAUACAAAUGGUAUGAACACGUGUUGAUUUUCCAUGCAUGAUUUCUCAUGUUUGGUGAUCUUGUAUGUAGCAGUUUUUAAAGCAGUCUGUCUCGCCGUGAAACCCUAACCCAUCCAAAAAUCAAAACCCCAGUCGGUUUAAGGGUUAACAUUCCUUUUACCGGGUCGGUCAAGAAAUUCAUAGGUGUCUCUUUCUUGGCGGAAACUCCGACACGUUUAAAUAUGUCAAACAAAACAUCCAUAACCAAAGAACAAAAGUCAUAAUUGGUGUAAAAGAGUCAAAAUUGGUGUUCCAAUAAAUUCUGAUCCAAAAAAGGAGUUGAAAGUCAAAGAUGAUAUUUGUUGUUGGUUGAAUUGUAAGAUUUUGAUGAACUGGUUUGUGUUUUGAUAGCUUCCAAUUAGAUAAAAAUUGGUGCCGAUCAAACUUAAAUUUGUUUUUCGUUUAUUAUACAUUUGAAUGUUAGUUUCGUUGGACUAUGGAUUAAGAAUUGAUAAAUUACGUGAUCAAAUUCAGUGGUCAACAAAAAAGUCUAAAUUUGACUUUUCGAUAUUUUAAAAUGAAUUAGAAGUUGAAAUCAAAGAUGUUGAUACUAUCUUUGUAGUGCUUUCGAUGUUAAUUAGUCGAAAAUGCAAUGAAUGAUUUUGUGUUAUCGAAGGGCUGAGAAACUUCGAUGAUCGUUCGAUAGUGGCUCUUCAAUGACGAUUCAAACGGAAAAAUAGAAUUUUUCGAUAUUGCAUUUUUGAGGGUUAGAGGUCGAACUGGUAUUGAAAAUCAGUGUUAUUUUGACAUUGUAAGAUUAGAAUUAUUAAAAUUUCGGUAUUAAAAACCUAUUUUAAGUUUAUAAAACCGAUUUAUUUAAAUUUCGGUUUAUUGUAGCAGUCUACAGAUGUUAGAAAACAAACAAAAUUCUUAUUACAUGUUGCAAGCCGUUUGGUCUUAAAAAAAAAAAAACAGCUUCUUAAUCUCAACCAGUACGACUCGUUGACUCAUUUCGUUACAAAUAAAACUACUUUAAACUUCAAUUUCAACAAUUUAAACGUUUGGACUAGACUACGUAUCAAGAGAUACUCCAUAAGUACUCCACUGACUAAAUUCCUAGUCUACUCAAUUUAAAAACAAUAUCAUCUCUCACCUCUAAAACCCUCUUUGUGAAAUCACAUGUGCUCAUCUAGUAAUUUUUAUAGAACUUAGUAAUCAUCAACACACUUUUUAAUAAGCGCUAGUGACAAAUGUGUCGAGUAUAAUGAUUUAAACCUAAUCUUAAUCCUCGAAAAAGCCUCCUUUUCCUAAAUCGACUAAAUAAAAAAACCCUAAAGUAACUAACUAAUUAGAAUAUAGUUUUCUAACAACCUCCAAACUUUUAACUCAAAUUAAUGAAGUAUAUGGCUUAUUAAAGGGUUUUCAUGCAUAAAACUUUGGUGGAUGUUUAAACAAAACCAAAUCUUUUUUCCAUUAAAUUCUUGAUGCAGAACUAAAACGUGGUUACAAGGUAAUGUUAAUAAAAAGAACUUAAUCACUCAUUUUUUGUUAGACUUUUUUCAAUCGUAUGAUACGAAAAUACAACUUAAAAGAACAUGUUUUUUGCAAAAAUAAAAAAUCAAGCAGUCAUAGCGUUAUUACACAUGCCAGGAUUUCUAAUGCACCAAAGCGGUUGAAUCGGUUCAGCCUUCACCCCUCUCUUCACCAUUCUAUUUAUCCACUCAUUCAACCUAUCCGUCGCCUCCCCAGAUCUCUUCACCCCCGCCUCAUCACGGUUGCCGGACCACAACACCUCCGCCAUUGCCGACGACCUUGGCCAAAUCCUUGAAUCAAGAACCGUCGCAUCCGCCUGCUCCGACCACAAAGCCACCUCCCCACCCAAAACCAACUUCGCCUCCGCCUCCGUCAGCCCAUAUGUUAUAUCAUAGUUGUAUAUCAACUGCCAUGUCUUGAAAGGUCCACACCAUGAUCCACCUUUUCCCUGUUCAGUACCUGGUGGUUGAUCGUAUAUACUGUUAUUCCCAGUGAAAUCACCAUGGCCACAGUCCAAGUAAUAGUAAUCCGCCGACGACACGAUUGUCCGGUAACCAGCCGACACCAACCGUUUCGUGUUGUUGGGGCCGCCGUUCCAUGUCUGCAUAAUGGUGGUUUCCGGUGGGAGAAUCGAAGGAUUCACCUUUAUUUCGCCGUCAAGAAUAACGUCCUCCCAGUAGACAGCGGUGCGAUUGAGCGACAAAAUGUAAGGGUAGGUGGAGUUGAUGAAGAUUUCGAGGACUUGACUGAGUGUGCCGUUGUUAGCAAGAUACUUUUGGAUUGUAGGGUCGGCUUUCCAACAUCCGGGAACGACCUCAUCGGCUCCGCCGUGGAAAAAUGUAUCUGGAAAUAGUGUAGUCAGUUCUGUGAAAACGUUUUUCACGACGUCGUAGGUUUUCGGAAUUAAAGGAUUUAAGUGGCCGGUUCCUGGCUCUGCUGCCAGCCGGUCUUCCCACGAGGCCCCCGCCGGCAUCCAAAACAUGUUGGCACAAGCUACAAUCUCCGGAUAAGCAUCCGCCCAUGACCCCGUGUGCCCUGCAGAACGAUAAGAAAAGGAGCCAUUGAUAACAUCAAUCGAUCGGGAAUUACGAAUCGCCGGAAAACGUGCACACAAUGAUAAAAUUGAGAACUUACCAGGCAUAUCGAUCUCCGGAAUCACUCGAACGCCGUGUUCCAACCCGAAUUGAACAAUCCGCUUUACAUCUUCGGUCGAAUACUGCAUAUCCGAUCCAUACGAUCCAUUUCCGGCAAGCGCUGGUUCCGAUUUCAGAACCAAUGGAAACGAAUGCGAAUCUGUUAUGUGCCAAUGGAACACGUUCAGUUUAUUGGCACUCAUACCUCCAAUCAACCUCAAAAGAUCCUCAACACCAUAGUAAUUCCUUGAAGUAUCCAAUAGAAUCCCUCUGUGUUCGAAGAUAGGCCAAUCCGAGAUCACCAAUCCGGCUGCCACUCGAGCAGGGCUUCCCCAUACUAGUUGCGAGAAACUCUCCAGUCCUCUCAUAGCUCCCCAAGGCGUCGCCGCCGUGAGAGUAGCGGAGGUGCUUUUGGACGGGAUGGUGAGAGUGUAGGAUUCAUUGACGCCAUGAGAGAGCGUUGCUUUGAGAUCUGAUAUGAUGAUGGUUAAAGUUUGUAACGGCAGGGAGGUGGUGAAGUUGAUCGCCGGAGCAAGUAAGGGGUUGUAGUUAGCGGUUUGGAUUUGGCUGAGGUAACGGUUAACCGCCGGUGUUAAGUAGGGGUGCGGCGGAGAAGUAAUGACGAAUGAUGGGGAGAAAGGGAUUGCCUGUGGGGUGGUCCAGACGAAGGAUCUUGGUUUGGGCCAUAUGUUAAUCGGAGAUCCAACGGCUAAGAUUGAAGGAACCAAAGUGAGAAAUAAUAAUAGUAAGUUAAAAAUAGUGGAAUAAUUAUUGAUAUUCAUUUUUUGUAGUGGAAAGUAAAGUGUGUGAUGAGUGAUGAGUGAUGAGUGAUGAAUAGAAGAAUGGAGAGGAUAAGUUUAUAUAGUUUUUUGAAAAUAUAAAAAGUCAAUGGAACGAAGGAUAUUUCAUUUGUUUGAACUUUUAGAUAUCUCUUUUCUCAUUUUGUUUCUUCCAUUUGGUGUUUUGUGUUUAGUUCAUAUAAUGAUAUAAAUAAUCGUGUAAUUUUUUAAACCAUGAUUAGUC
Molecule: long non-coding RNA, 10809 nt
Filed under: Lactuca sativa (garden lettuce)
Lineage: Eukaryota; Viridiplantae; Streptophyta; Magnoliopsida; Asterales; Asteraceae
Description: long non-coding RNA (LSAT_LNC003509)
Source: RNAcentral